Molecule: ribosomal RNA, 503 nt
Filed under: uncultured bacterium
Lineage: Bacteria
Description: partial 16S ribosomal RNA
Rfam family: Bacterial small subunit ribosomal RNA
Source: RNAcentral
AUUGAACGCUGGCGGCAGGCUUAACACAUGCAAGUCGAGCGGGGUGAUGGUGCUUGCACUAUCACUUAGCGGCGGACGGGUGAGUAAUGCUUAGGAAUCUGCCUAUUAGUGGGGGACAACAUCUCGAAAGGGGUGCUAAUACCGCAUACGUCCUACGGGAGAAAGCAGGGGAUCACUUGUGACCUUGCGCUAAUAGAUGAGCCUAAGUCGGAUUAGCUAGUUGGUGGGGUAAAGGCCAACCAAGGCGACGAUCUGUAGCGGGCCUGAGAGGAUGAUCCGCCACACUGGGAGUGGGGCACGGCCCAGACUCCUACGGGAGGCAGCAGUGGGGAAGAUUGGACAAUGGGGGGAACCCUGAUCCAGCCAUGCCGCGUGUGUGAAGAAGGCCUUAUGGUUGUAAAGCACUUUAAGCGAGGAGGAGGCUCUUUUGGUUAAUACCCAAGAUGAGUGGACGUUACUCGCAGAAUAAGCACCGGCUAACUCUGUGCCAGCCGCCGCCGUAA